GGUCCCGUGUGGCUCAGUUGGUAGAGCAUUGUACUUGCAAUGCCAGGGUUAUGGGUUCAAUUCCCACAGGGGACCA
Oncorhynchus gorbuscha (pink salmon) is the source of this 76-nucleotide non-coding RNA. The record is from the annotation of a RefSeq genome assembly. Lineage: Eukaryota; Metazoa; Chordata; Actinopteri; Salmoniformes; Salmonidae.